Molecule: long non-coding RNA, 909 nt
Organism: Centruroides sculpturatus (bark scorpion)
Lineage: Eukaryota; Metazoa; Arthropoda; Arachnida; Scorpiones; Buthidae
Exons: 4
Source: RefSeq, a predicted model, not a curated record
UUUCAAUUUUUCUGAAGUAAAGUUCGAGCUGAAAGUUUUCUUUUCAUUACUGUGCGCUACUCUUACUUUUGUCUGUAUUUUAAUCGGAUUUUUGUUAUCCGCCUUCACGUCUGCUAUGCAAACGUUAUUUCAAGACAUCCGAAGAUUUGCUGACUGCGACCUCAGAUUGGAACAGAAAUUAAAGAUUUUGAAUUUUAUGAAAAGAUUCGGUAAAGAAUCCCUGUGUCUGUCAUGCAGAAAUUACUUUAAGAUUACAAAAAAGUUUCCAAUAAAGAUGGGAAGUUCUCUACACCCCGUGUUUUCUGGUCUUUUAAAUAUAAAAAAAGCUUCGAAACAUAAAACUUAAUAAAUACAGAAGAUUUUCAGUUUGAAAGACGACUCUAAAUGACAAUUAUUUGUUAAAUUUCCACGUCGCAAUCACUAAAAUUUAUUAUAAUUCACAAGUAAAUUGCUAUAAAGGUCCGAUAUUUAGUUUUACUCUUGUGAUCAUUCGUCAUUUAAUAAAGAUUUACGCGAUGUAGUAAAUGAGGAUGCCGCGAUGAGUAAUAAAUCUUAAUUCUAAGAUCGGCACUCGAAAAUUGAGCGAGAAACUGAUAAAAGGACACAUUAAUAUGCACGUAGAUGUAUAGAUGAAUACUACUCAAAGACAGGUAAUGAUUGUAUGAUUUAAUAAUCUGUGAUGAAAAUUUGAAAUAGAGUGAAAUAAUUUAAUUUUAACAUAAAACGUCGUGAAUUAUAAUUCAUCAAAAGACAUUUCACUAUUUAAAAUGUUGAUCGUAAAAGUCUGUAAUAUCGCAUUCAUAAUUUUUUUUUUAACAGAAUUCUCUGUUGUCAUAGAAAUGUAUUGGCCAAAAUGGUUGAAAUUAAUGUAUCGAACAGUAAUGUAUUGAAUAGCGUUAAAGAUGAAAG